AAAAACAUGGCCUUUUGAUAAUAAUUUAAGGUCUAGCCUGCCCAAUGAGUUUUUCUUGAAUGGCCGCAGUAUCUUGACUGUGCAAAGGUAGCAUAAUCAAUAGUUUUUUAAUUGAAAGCUGGAAUGAAAGGUCUUAUGAGAAAAUAGCUGUCUCUAUUAAAAUUUAUUAAAACUUUAUUUUUAAGUUAAAAAGCUUAAAUUAAAAUGGAAGACGAGAAGACCCUAUAGAGUUUUAUAGUUUAUUUUAUACAUUAUUUUAGUAUUUAUUAUUUUGUAUAUUUUAAAUUAUUUAGUUGGGGUGAUUGGAAAAUUAAUUAAACUUUUCUUUAUUAAUACAUUAAUUUAUGAUUAUAUGAUCCUUUUAUUAAGAUUAAAAGAUAAAAUUACCUUAGGGAUAACAGCGUAAUUUUUUUUGAGAGUUCUUAUCGAAAAAAAAGAUUGCGACCUCGAUGUUGGAUUAAAAUUUAUUUAUGGUGUAGAAGCUAUAAUAUUAGGUCUGUUCGACCUUUAAAAUUUUACUUGAUCUGAGUU
RNAcentral lists this ribosomal RNA (531 nucleotides) under Pelenomus velaris. RNAcentral describes it as "partial 16S ribosomal RNA". It matches the Rfam family "Bacterial large subunit ribosomal RNA", at positions 1809 to 2611 of the family's 2925-position model. The record is from RNAcentral. Lineage: Eukaryota; Metazoa; Arthropoda; Insecta; Coleoptera; Curculionidae.